RNAcentral lists this transfer RNA (57 nucleotides) under Methanobacteriota archaeon. RNAcentral's name for it is "Euryarchaeota archaeon tRNA-Ala". It matches the Rfam family "tRNA", at positions 8 to 62 of the family's 71-position model. Rfam says of the family: Transfer RNA (tRNA) molecules are approximately 80 nucleotides in length. Their secondary structure includes four short double-helical elements and three loops (D, anti-codon, and T loops). The record is from RNAcentral. Lineage: Archaea; Methanobacteriati; Methanobacteriota.
UAGCUCAGUUGGAAGAGCGUCUGGUUUGCAACCAGAAGGCCGGGGGUUCAAAUCCCC